This 1259-nucleotide long non-coding RNA is filed under the name Homo sapiens (human). RNAcentral's name for it is "HSALNT0152488". Lineage: Eukaryota; Metazoa; Chordata; Mammalia; Primates; Hominidae. The record is from RNAcentral.
CCCAAGUGGAGUGCAGUGGCACGAUCUUGGCUCACUGCAGCCUCUGCCUCCUGGGUUCAAGCAAUUCUCCUGCCUCAGCCUCCCGAGUAGCUGGGAUUACAGGUGUGCGCCACCAUGCCCAGCUAAUUUUUGUAUUUUCAGUAGAGACGGGGUUUCACCAUGUUGGCCAGGCUGGUCUUGAACUCCUGACCUCGUGAUCUGCCUGCCUGGGCCUCCCAAAGUGUAGGAUCUCUGCCUUCUAAGGCUGAGGACCAUCCUGCCAUACACACAGACCACGUUUCCUUUCUGCACUGGCUUGGCUGCUGGCGGAUGCAGCUGUCUGCCUCUUGGCUGUCCAGGAGAGUGCUGCCAGGAACAUGGCGUCCAGGAUUUCCUCAGCUGUUACUUUGCAUUCUUUUGGGUAAACAUCUAGAGGCAGAAUGGAUAGAUCAGAGUUCUAGGUUACCAUACUGUUUCCAGAGUCAAUUUUCUAUUUUGAUUUUUUUCACCCUAUCUUACGGUGCUGAUAAAUUUGGAUGUUUGACAGGCUGUCCUCCGAAAAGGUGGUACCAGUUUCCUGUCCCUUCCUCUGCCUGUUCCGCACUCUGUCAUCAGCAUGGGGAGCAUCAGCCUUGAGUGUUUCCCAAGCUGCCGUGGAGAUGGUUGGGAGCACCUGGGCUUCUGCCACGCUGUGGAAAAGCCCCUGCCGUCCCGUUCCCUGUGUCGUGUGUGUCCCUGCCCGUGCGUUUCGAGCUGGCAGCUGUUUCCUUACUGAUGUGUAGAAGAGCUUUAGAAGUUAGGAAAUUCGCUUUUUUCAUGUGCUGCAAAUACUUCUUCUUCCCUCAGUUUACCAUGUGUAUUGAGAUACUUUGGUGAGUUUGCUUUUGAUUUCUGUAUGGCCAGUUUUACCCACCUUUUCUCCUGUGGUUUCUUGCUUUUGCGUUGGGCAUGGAAAGGGUUCCCUGUGGCAGACACAGCCAAGGGAGAUGCGUGGGGGGUCCCCACGGCCUGGCCUGAAAGGAGGCAUGGAAGUCCGCAGGGAUGCGCUGGAGCCUUGGGUCCCGCCCCCUCUUCGUGAGAUCGGCAUCCUCUCAGCUCCCCUUCCUCCCUCCAAAGGACUGGAGAGUCUGCCCUGAGGCAGUGACCUGCACGCAGGGGUGUGGGUGGGCCGGGAGGGAGUGGCCGGGGCUGGACAGGGUGUGACCAUCUGCAAACCACUGAGGAACAAAGAAGUUCUAAAUGAAAGACCAGAAAAUGCUUUCUGCAUUUUGGGAGGAGGG